RNAcentral lists this ribosomal RNA (200 nucleotides) under uncultured bacterium. Its description in RNAcentral is "partial 16S ribosomal RNA". It matches the Rfam family "Bacterial small subunit ribosomal RNA", at positions 29 to 256 of the family's 1533-position model. The record is from RNAcentral.
AACGAACGCUGGCGGCAUGCCUAACACAUGCAAGUCGAACGAGACCUUCGGGUCUAGUGGCGCACGGGAGCGUAACGCGUGGGAAUCUGCCCUUGGGUUCGGGAUAACAGUUGGAAACGACUGCUAAUACCGAAUGAUGACUCCGGUCCAAAGAUUUAUCGCCCAGGGAUGAGCCCGCGUCGGAUUAGCUAGUUGGUGAG